UGAGUUCAACUUUGGAGUUGGACAAUAGCCAGCGCAGAACAAUUGGCGCGGAGAUUGGAGUUGGCCGAGAACGAGGGCAGAUAAAAAAGAACCGCAUGCCGCUGCAGAAGUGUCUUUAGAAAUGAUACAGUUUGCUUAAUUUGAUCGCGCAUUAUUCAACAAAGUUCAGUAGUGUGUUCAGAAAAUUACUUUGAAUUUAGUGCGUUAGUCUUAAACGAAUAUUAUAAAUAUUCAGUGAUUUAUAUUUGCUAUAUUGAAUAGUUGAAUUCAAGGCUCAACAUUAUUUGGAAUCUAUAGCAGAUAAGGUGGCAGUUGGGUGGCAGAUAAAAGUAAACGAGGCUACUUAAUUGGUUUAUGCAAUCACUUCGGAGUGAAUCAAUUUGUUGUUUGAGUCAUAGGAGAAACUUAUUGUAAGUACU
Molecule: long non-coding RNA, 419 nt
Organism: Wyeomyia smithii (pitcher-plant mosquito)
Lineage: Eukaryota; Metazoa; Arthropoda; Insecta; Diptera; Culicidae
Exons: 3
Source: RefSeq, a predicted model, not a curated record